UGGGGAAUCUUGCGCAAUGGGCGGAAGCCUGGCGCAGCAACGCCGCGUGCGGGACGAAGGCCCUCGGGUCGUAAACCGCUUUCAGGAGGGACGAAGCUUCCGGGGUUAAUAGCCCACGGGGUGACGGUACCUCCAGAAGAAGGUCCGGCUAACUACGUGCCAGCAGCCGCGGUAAUACGUAGGGACCGAGCGUUGUCCGGAAUCAUUGGGCGUAAAGAGCGUGUAGGUGGCUUGAUAGGUCUCGUGUUAAAGCCCGCGGCUCAACCGCGGAAUCGCACGGGAAACCAUCUCGCUAGAGUCCGGAAGAGGGAAGUGGAAUUCCAGGUGUAGCGGUGAAAUGCGCAGAUAUCUGGAAGAACACCAGUGGCGAAGGCGGCUUCCUGGGACGGUACUGACACUGAGACGCGAAAGCGUGGGGAGCGAACAG
RNAcentral lists this ribosomal RNA (427 nucleotides) under uncultured bacterium. RNAcentral's name for it is "bacterial SSU rRNA". It matches the Rfam family "Bacterial small subunit ribosomal RNA", at positions 355 to 775 of the family's 1533-position model. The record is from RNAcentral.